ACUGAAUAGAUACCCAGGUAGUCCACGCCCUAAACGAUGUCAACUAGGUGUUGGAGGAGCAAAUCUUUCAGUACCGCAGCUAACGCGUGAAGUUGACCGCCUGGGGAGUACGGUCGCAAGAUUAAAACUCAAAGGAAUUGACGGGGACCCGCACAAGCGGUGGAUGAUGUGGAUUAAUUCGAUGCAACGCGAACAACCUUACCUACCCUUGACAUGUCUGGAAUCCUGCUGAAAGGCGGGAGUGCCCGAAAGGGAACCGGAACACAGGUGCUGCAUGGCUGUCGUCAGCUCGUGUCGUGAGAUGUUGGGUUAAGUCCCGCAACGAGCGCAACCCUUGUCCUUAGUUGCUACGCAAGGGCACUCUAAGGAGACUGCCGGUGACAAACCGGAGGAAGGUGGGGAUGACGUCAAGUCCUCAUGG
Molecule: ribosomal RNA, 421 nt
Filed under: uncultured bacterium
Lineage: Bacteria
Description: bacterial SSU rRNA
Rfam family: Bacterial small subunit ribosomal RNA
Source: RNAcentral